RNAcentral lists this ribosomal RNA (429 nucleotides) under Bacteroidota bacterium. RNAcentral describes it as "Bacteroidetes bacterium partial 16S ribosomal RNA". It matches the Rfam family "Bacterial small subunit ribosomal RNA", at positions 355 to 776 of the family's 1533-position model. Lineage: Bacteria; Pseudomonadati; Bacteroidota. The record is from RNAcentral.
UAGGGAAUCUUCGGCAAUGGGGGGAACCCUGACCGAGCAACGCCGCGUGAGUGAAGAAGGUUUUCGGAUCGUAAAGCUCUGUUGUUAAGGAAGAACGAGUGUGAGAAUGGAAAGUUCAUGCUGUGACGGUACUUAACCAGAAAGGGACGGCUAACUACGUGCCAGCAGCCGCGGUAAUACGUAGGUCCCGAGCGUUGUCCGGAUUUAUUGGGCGUAAAGCGAGCGCAGGCGGUUAGAAAAGUCUGAAGUGAAAGGCAGUGGCUCAACCAUUGUAGGCUAUGGAAACUGUUUAACUUGAGUGCAGAAGGGGAGAGUGGAAUUCCAUGUGUAGCGGUGAAAUGCGUAGAUAUAUGGUGGAACACCGGUGGCGAAAGCGGCUCUCUGGUCUGUAACUGACGCUGAGGCUCGAAAGCGUGGGGAGCGAACAGG